AUUGAACGCUGGCGGCAUGCCUUACACAUGCAAGUCGAACGGCAGCACGGGAGCAAUCCUGGUGGCGAGUGGCGAACGGGUGAGUAAUAUAUCGGAACGUGCCCAGUCGUGGGGGAUAACGUAGCGAAAGCUACGCUAAUACCGCAUACGAUCUAUGGAUGAAAGCGGGGGAGUCGCAAGACCUCGCGCGAUUGGAGCGGCCGAUAUCAGAUUAGGUAGUUGGUGAGGUAAAGGCUCGCCAAGCCGACGAUCUGUAGCUGGUCUGAGAGGACGACCAGCCACACUGGGACUGAGACACGGCCCAGACUCCUACGGGAGGCAGCAGUGGGGAAUUUUGGGACAAUGGGCGCAAGCCUGAUCCAGCAAUGCCGCGUGCAGGAUGAAGGCCUCGGUUGGU
RNAcentral lists this ribosomal RNA (397 nucleotides) under uncultured bacterium. RNAcentral describes it as "bacterial SSU rRNA". It matches the Rfam family "Bacterial small subunit ribosomal RNA", at positions 29 to 427 of the family's 1533-position model. The record is from RNAcentral.